AGGUGUUUCCUCCGGCGAGAGACUGGCUCGGCCACCGACUCGCACCGAGGGGCGGAGCGAAGCGGAGGCAGGGGCGGAGCCUGCUGCCUGUUACCUUCCUUCAUCUGCCUGGCUGGGCUGGUGGGAUUUAGGCAUCCCGGUUCCCUGCACCCCGCGCCGGGCCAGUGGGGCGGGAGCUGGGGUCGCCCCGCGGGGCGGAGCAGAGCAGGGCCGGACCGGGGACACGCGCCGGCCGCUUGUGGAGACCCCCGUAGGGGCGGGAGCCACCGCGAACCUCUGGCAGCAGCGAGCCUGCGCCGCGGAGCCAGCCGGGGCUGCCCAGCUCUCCCGCCGGGGGGCCAUGGCGCCCUGAGCGCCCCCUGCCCGCGGGGAGCCGGGCGCUGCGCUGCGCCCCCCGUGCGCCCUCGCUGCGCUGCGCUGUGCCCCGCCCGGCGCGCCGGGCAUGAAGCCGCUGGAGAAAUUCCUGAAGAAGCAGGGCUCGCACCUGGCGGGCCGGGCCGGGCCGGGCCCUGGGCCGCCUCUGCAACGUCGCCAGAGCGUCUCCAGGAUCCUGCUGCCCGGCUUCCUGCGGGAGCCCGCCGAGGAGCCGCCGGGAGGGAUGGAGGAGGCAGCGCAGCCCGGCGGGGACGGGCGCUGGCUGGAGCUGCAGCCCCCCGACGCCGCCCUCCGCUCCCCCUCGUCCUUCUCCUCCGAGGAGCUGUCCCCGGCCGGCGGCGAGCCCCCGCUCAGCCCCGGCCCCGGCGCCUCCUGCUGCUGCUGGCCCCCGGGGCCCCCCGAGCGCCUGGUGGGGGCGCUACUGGACCGGCUCGGGGGGGCCCCGGCCUCGCACGGCCACAGCUGCGGCGCAGAUGUGCUAUUGGACGACAUCAUCCUCACACACUCGCUCUUCCUGCCGACAGACCACCUGCUGCAGCAGCUGCUCCAGCAAUAUCCUUCGGGGCAGGCCCCAGCAUGGUUAGGGGGCUGGGGGUAGGGGCAGGGCUGCUCUGGGGAGGGGAACCAGGCUUUGCAGCCGAACCACUCACAGCAAGGCCUGGCUGGAUCUCCAGAGCUGAGCUGUCCUGCUCUGGGAGUGAGAUUCACCCCGCCCCUCACACCUUUGCCCAGCCGCUGGCUUCCAGUAGGAGGCACUGCCGGAUACUGCUCACCAUGGGUGAACUGGGCCCUGCUGCGCCAGCUGUGACUUCAGAUAGCACCAGCAGAAGCCUGCACCUGAGCUAUUGUGGGGUGGAUACUUGUUCUCCGGCACCACACACAUAAGCCAGUUUAACAAACAAGGAGUCUUGUGGCACUUUUAAAGACUAACAAAUGUAUUUAUCGCAUGAGCUUUUGUUUGUUAUUGUAGGGGCUCCCUGUAGGAGUUGUGCAGUGCUGGGCAUGCUGGUUUGCUCCCAAGGGGUGCUGUAGGGUUACACAUGAGCGUGGUGAGAAAUGUUCAUAUUUGUUUAGGGGGAAAACACAGUGGUCAAGUCACAAGGACAGCAUCCCCCUGGCCUCAGCCCAGGCCUGGCUGCCCAUGGCUCCCCUCUCUGCGAGACUGUAAAGCAGGGUUCGAACUUGUGGCUGGGGAGAAAGGGCGAGAUGCAAAUGUGGCCUGCCUUGGCCGUGGCUGCAGCUGGGUGCCCGACUGGUUCCCCGGAGGAAUGGGCUGAUCUCUGGGCCUGGUGCAGGCCAAGCAGUUGAGGGUGGACUUGGCUUCACUCAGCCAACAGCUGAGCUGCUGCUCGCCCUUGGGCAAAUACCCUUAUCACCAGCUGCGGAUGAUGCUGCUGAUACCACCCCAGCCUGCCCCCCCCGGAACUGGUUAUCUCCCUUCUCCUGGUGGUUGGUGGGGGCGGGGGGUCCUCUAGAACCCUGG
This 1858-nucleotide long non-coding RNA is filed under the name Pelusios castaneus (West African mud turtle). Its description in RNAcentral is "lncRNA (ENSPCEG00000013105.1)". Lineage: Eukaryota; Metazoa; Chordata; Testudines; Pelomedusidae. The record is from RNAcentral.